CCAGGGAGCAAGAGAGGCUGCCCAGCCGGGUGGCUCUGCUGCGGUUAUUAUCACAAAGCACGUGUGUGUUGAAGACAACUUAGAUCACUGCUACCUGGGAGUUCCUGGUAAUCCUGGUGCGAACCUUCAAGAAGGCAGCAGGCAGAAAGACAUGAACCAGCAGAUGAAGAGAAGGGCUGGGACGAGAGGCCAGGGCGGACGAGCGCCCGCGGGAGCUAAACCAAGGCCACACCAGGUCACCCAGGGCCCCGCGGCAGCAAUGGAGCCUCUCUGUGCAACCUGGGCCCCGCGUGACAAAGGUGCCUGCCCUGAACCGAGUCCCCAAGACAGUGGAGACAAAGAUUUCCCCGACUGCUACAUAGAAUGCAUCAUAACAGGUCAGUUUUCCGAACCCAUCCUGGAAGAAGAUUUACUCUUUAGCUCCUUCAAAGAGCUAAGCGAAGAUUCAGAAGAAAGCCUUUCUCAACAGGUUUUUGCAGCCAGCUCCCUCAUUGGGUGUUCUUGGGAAUACAUGAAAAGUGGAGCGAAACAAAAGCCGCCGCCACAGAUGGGGUAUUCGGAGUACCUGACGGGCAAGAAGUUUCCUGCUGGAGGAAUUCCUGGCCUUGACCUGGCGGACCCUAAACAGCUCAGCGAAUUUGCUACAAAGAGGAGCCCCCACAGUCAAGACCAGGGCGCUCCAAAUACAUUGGAUUGUCCCCACAGUGGAUGCACAAGGAAGCUGAGGGACAAAACCGCCCUGCGGAAGCACCUGGUGGUGCACCGGCCCCGAGACCACGUGUGCGCGGAGUGCGGGCGCGCGUUCUCCGAGCGCUCCAAGCUCGCCCGGCACUUCCUGGUGCACACGGGCGAGAAGCCCUUCCGGUGCACCUUCGCCGGCUGCGGGAAGCGCUUCUCCCUCGACUUCAACCUGCGCACACACGUGCGCAUCCACACCGGGGAGAAGCGCUUCGCGUGUCCCUUCCAGGGCUGCGACAAGAGGUUUGUGCAGUCCAACAACCUCAAAACCCACAUUGUAACUCACGCCAAGAUGAGAAAUAAACACUGAAAGCAGACACGGACGGGGUCGUCCGACAGGAUGAGCAGGACGAGCAUAAGCAGUGAUCGGAGAAGCACUGCAGCGGUAACAGGCGCAUUUUCAGCUUUGCUCGUUGCUCCAUACCUUGUGAUACCAUUUUAAGAACGUCGCCAACGGAAAGAAAGAAAACAUUGCGAAGGCUGUGAGAGGGAGAAGGCAAAUAGAAGCAAUGGAAAGUGAAAAAAAGGGAAAAGAAGUGUAUUUAAUGAGAAAUCCCACUUUAAAUCUUCCCACAUUAGUAUGGCAAAUAAAAAUGAACAUGAUGUAAAACACAUGUCCAGGGAAAACUGAGAAGUAAAUCCAUCUAGAUUGUCUCAUGUUGGCAGGUACUGGCACGUAACCAGCCCCAAAUCUGGAGGAAUGAAUAAAUCUCUGUGUUUCGUGUUGACACUUAACUUUAUUCUCAAGUUCUUUCCUUUUAUAAUGACCAAAUAUCAAUACUGGGAAGUUCACACUAGAAAAAUGUUCUCUACAAAACACUGAAUAUUGUCAUACAUAUAUUACUCAUCAGCAUAUUGCUUUGAUAUAGUGAAAGGAUACUAUCAUUAAGUGAUUAAGAAAACCCUUAUAUCACCUUCCCUUUUUUUUAAGAAGGGGUCUUGCUGUGUAGUUCAGACUGGUCUUGAACUAACUGUGUAGCU
Fukomys damarensis (Damara mole-rat) is the source of this 1719-nucleotide RNA transcript. It is a transcript of the gene named ZFP42 zinc finger protein, with no coding region annotated. The transcript is spliced from 3 exons. The record is from RefSeq and is a predicted model, not a curated record. NCBI's taxonomy places the organism in Eukaryota, Metazoa, Chordata, Mammalia, Rodentia, Bathyergidae.